UCUGGGACAAGCCCUGGAAACGGGGUCUAAUACCGGAUACCACUACCGCAGGCAUCUGUGGUGGUUGAAAGCUCCGGCGGUGAAGGAUGAGCCCGCGGCCUAUCAGCUUGUUGGUGAGGUAAUGGCUCACCAAGGCGACGACGGGUAGCCGGCCUGAGAGGGCGACCGGCCACACUGGGACUGAGACACGGCCCAGACUCCUACGGGAGGCAGCAGUGGGGAAUAUUGCACAAUGGGCGAAAGCCUGAUGCAGCGACGCCGCGUGAGGGAUGACGGCCUUCGGGUUGUAAACCUCUUUCAGCAGGGAAGAAGCGAAAGUGACGGUACCUGCAGAAGAAGCGCCGGCUAACUACGUGCCAGCAGCCGCGGUAAUACGUAGGGCGCAAGCGUUGUCCGGAAUUAUUGGGCGUAAAGAGCUCGUAGGCGGCUUGUCACGUCGGGUGUGAAAGCCCGGGGCUUAACCCCGGGUCUGCAUUCGAUACGGGCUAGCUAGAGUGUGGUAGGGGAGAUCGGAAUUCCUGGUGUAGCGGUGAAAUGCGCAGAUAUCAGGAGGAACACCGGUGGCGAAGGCGGAUCUCUGGGCCAUUACUGACGCUGAGGAGCGAAAGCGUGGGGAGCGAACAGGAUUAGAUACCCUGGUAGUCCACGCCGUAAACGGUGGGAACUAGGUGUUGGCGACAUUCCACGUCGUCGGUGCCGCAGCUAACGCAUUAAGUUCCCCGCCUGG
This 727-nucleotide ribosomal RNA is filed under the name Streptomyces sp. RNAcentral describes it as "bacterial SSU rRNA". It matches the Rfam family "Bacterial small subunit ribosomal RNA", at positions 137 to 876 of the family's 1533-position model. Lineage: Bacteria; Bacillati; Actinomycetota; Actinomycetes; Kitasatosporales; Streptomycetaceae. The record is from RNAcentral.